UCUUUCCUGGCAAGCUCUUGGCACCCAGGAUUUCCGUGUCCCCCGCUCCAGGACCUCCUCCAGUCCUGUCCUCACAAGGCUUCCCAGACAGGGGGCUUUUAGACCUUUUCCAUGAUGGGACAGGAAACCUCCUAUCUUUUCCUGAUGCUGCAGGAUUUCUCAGAAGUACGGGCAGCUUGCCCUAUUUGGCACAAACUAGUAUAUUUUGCAUUGUUCUUUAAUGUUGGAAUUUUCCACAAAACAGAAAUUUCAAGUUUUAGCCAGCUUCAGUGCAUGCUGCUGGAGCAUUUUCUCUGGAGGAUUUUCACCUUGGCCAUUACAAACUUGUAUUCCAGCUCUGAACUAUUUGCUACAUUUUCAUCCACAGCUUCCUCCUAUAACCUGUCCAUCUCAUACAGAUUAGAGAACUGACUAGUAAUACUUUUGCCCCCAAAAUAAAGGUCAGUAACUGUAAUGAAUUUUAUUUAAAUUUGAGUAUAGAGCAAGCAAAUAGAAAUGGUUUUAAAGGUUGUGACCUGAGGCAGGGUACAGAAAGCAUUAUGCCAAAGCUGAACUGCUCUGGGCAGUUUCACACUGAAGGUAUCUCACAGCAAAGGAGAGGGCAGGAAAAUGAAACACGUUUAGAGAUGGCAAUGAUCAAAACAGCACUAGUCUGAAGAUAAAGUAAGCAAUAAUUAGUCUGUAUUAUUACUUAACAAAAGCAUUUAAUAGCUCCCACAUAUGAGUUGAGGUUUUGUUUUACUCCUGUGGCCAGAGCUGAAGCUGCUGUAAGCCACUGCUGAUCUUUGCUGGGGGUGAAUCCCUGCUCCUGCUCACCUGCCAGGGAGCAGCUCCUCAAAUCUGCACCAGUGAUGCACCACCACAGCCAGCAUUUGCAUUUUCGUGUGCCAGCCCCCAGCAGGAUACAGGACAGUGUUGACAGUCCCACCUCACAUCCAAGUAGAGGGUUAGAUGUGCCAUGGUGGAAACCACACCUUCAUGGCUGUUAAAGUCUCCUUUGGUGGACAUUCAGAUCAGACAGGGCAAAAUUCUGGUGGUCUGCAGGAAAUGCACAGCUCUCAGCUGGGAAACAGCCUGAGCUGCUCAGACCACUAGAGGGGCCGGUGCUGGCCCCUUGGUCAAGAAAAAAUCUCAGAUUUCAUGCUUCAGAGUUGCUCUCUUGGCGUCUUUCCUGAGAGCUUGAUGCAUUUAUAGCUAUAAGCAUGCAAAUGGUGUGCAGUAUAAUCACCCUGCUUGGAAAUCCCAGCAGAGCAAAUUAUUUAACUCUGAAAAAAUCCUUGGAGUAACUGCUUUGCAAUAUAUGGAGCGGCGAGCAUUUCAGAAACAGUCUAACUAUGUAUUUAAACAGUCAUUACUGCCUUCUGGGUAAAUAACACAUGUUUUUGAAAUGGUCUCUAUACACAAUAGACACUAACACAAUAAAUCCUAAUUGCUCUGAAGGACCCAUUAGGCACUAUGAGGUCAAUAAAUGGUAGAGGUUUUUUGAAAGUCACUCACCAUGUUGUUACAUACGGCACAAUUGGAAAGUCCAUAAAUAAGUAUUUGCCCAAUGAAGAGUGAGGGCUUUGCCAGGGCCAUACUAAUUUAUCAUGUCAACUUCACUAUGGGGACUGUUUUCAAAGGCCAAUGUUAAAAAAAAGAAAAAAAAAUAAAGCAGUUGGGGGGGAGGGCAAAGGAUGGUGCGAUGUGUUUCAGAAAGUACGCAUCUGAGAAGUUUCACACUACAAAAUGCCCACCAAGAAAACCAAGUGUAAAGUUCACUGCCUCUUCCCCAUCUUGGCGUUGUGUGAAUCGCCAUGAGAUUUGAAGAGCCUUGUGGUUGUGGUGCUGGGGGCUGGGCUGUGGGGUGGCAGGGAUCUUACCUUGCCCCCCCGACCCUUUGGGCCAUGGCCCCAGUCCCGCCUCUGCCUUCUGUGCGCGGUGGUGGUGGUGGCACCUUGGGACAGGAACACCCCUUCUGUGCGCCAAGCAUGCCUCACAGACCCCGGUCCCAGUCCCUGUGGAGACCAACAAAGCUAAUCAUGUGCUUCUUAUGUGCUCACAUAAAUAAUAUUAAGUAAUAGUUGACAAGUCCAGCAAGAUGAGCUUCAAGUAAGCUGCUCUUGCCAAUUUUACAUUAAUCUUCCUUAUCUGAAGUUUUGGUUGCAUUUUACAAACCAGAGCACUCCCAUCAGCUGUUGGUACAAUCCGUGUCACUGUUAGAAACCAGGUUUUGCAUUAAUUCACUCAGAAAGUGUCCAGUGCCAUGUAGCUUCUUGAAUAUGACUCCAAUUUGGCAUGGGUUUGUUUUCUCACAGUAUUUUACAAUGUGUAAUCGUGCAGGUAGAUAUAAAAACAAACAGUAGUGAUGCAGGUUAGGGUUUUCAAGUUUAGCAAGGCUCUCAUGGUGAAAAGCAUUCAAGUGAUUUAAAUGUGAAUUCCUGUCCCCAGCCGACAGCUUUCAAAUCAUUUGAGCUCAUGAGAAAAUGCUGCCCCCCCGCUGCUGCUGCACUUGGGUAGGAUUCGGGUGCCAGGGUCCUGCUGCACGUGCUGGCAGCAAUUCUCCGCCUGCCCUGCCCGCUCUCAGAGCAUCACCCUGUGCCUCUGCCUGCCAGGUCCCUCCAGCAGGCAGGGACCAUGGUCCCUUAUAGGGCCCCCGCUCUGGGUUUGGGGCUGGCAGGUCAGUCUUGGUGCCAGGGCUUGCAGUGCUGGCAGCCCAAGGCCUCGUGUCUCAGGUGGGAACGCAAAGGGCUGGAAGCCGCCACAGCCCUUGCUAAGCCGUGGUUAUCAGGGGUCACUGCUAAUUUGAGCAGCGCCUGAGCUAGCACGGCCUCCAGCUGGGGUGAGUGACAGGCUGCCCGCCGGCACCAGGAGCCCCGAGUCACCUCCCUCCUGGCAGCCUGGGACUUGGCAGCAGCGCAGGCAAAACCGGGAUUUGCUGCGCCAAGCAAGAGGGGUUGAGGGCCAGGGUCGGCUCACAGGUCCUGCGGCAGGGCUGUGCUUCCAGCCCGGCUUGGGUACGGCAAGGUCGCUGCUCCCAGCUUUGUCCCUGCCCACAGCCUGGGCUGAAAGGCUUUUUGCAGAUGUCUGCUGGGUUCUCCAACAAGGGCAAGAGCAACAGCUGGCCUUUGCCAAGGAAGCUUGCUCAGCCUUUCCCUGAAGUGUUUUAAAAGUCACGAAACCACUUCAUCUCAGCUGGAAAUGCAACGAUGAGUGGAAGGGGCGUCCGUGAGGACACGCGCUGCCAGCCCCUGCCCCUGCCCUUCGGGCUGGAGCCAUGAGCAGGGCCAGGCCAGGCAUCUGAGCAGACCUGUCUGACGUGGUGGAGCUUCAUGAACGCCUCUGCACAGGGAUUAAAGAGAACAUCAUGAGAAAGCCAGGCCUAAGCAAUGCUGCUGCACUAUUGCCCUGCGGGAACAGCAGCUCAGGACAGGGCAGCAGCCCUCCCAGUGCUGAGCUCUGAACAGGGCGGGCUGCCCACACAUGGCUGCCAGCUCCACUGCGCAAGCUCUCACCUCAAUUGCUCUUGUGGCCUCUUCUGCUUGCUCAGGUUAGUCUUGAUGCCUAUAUUCUUAUCCAGAAGCAAUGUUCUUGACAUUUAUUCCAUCCCUGAAGUGCCUGUCCUCUUAACUGCCAAACCCACACUGAAGUAGUUCUCAUAAAAUUCCCUUAGAAACAAAAUACACAGUCUCCAUACACAAAGGUAGAGGCCUGCUGAAUCCCAAGGGCCAGAUGUAGCCCAGAAAUAGUGAUUUGCUCCCCAUAUGGACAACAAACACACAAUGCUUGUAUUAUGCUUGAUGGGCCACGAUGUAGCUACUGUCUAAGCAAACUAUUUUCCUACCAUUUGAGGAGUACUACCCUGGAACUGAAUGCAGCCAGAGGUUAGCUCACCACAGAUUAAAUAUUAUUCAGCUGUUGGGUAGCAAGAAACAAGCGUUCCUGUCACAAGAUACGUCAUUCCUGUAGGUGAACAGAAGGAGCAGAGGUAGGUAAUAUUCACUUUAAUCCUACUAUGAUUAUAAUUUUUAUUUUGCCUUUGUAAGAACAGAACUGCCAACAUUAGGAAUAGCAGAAGUUACAAGGUAUCUCCCCACGCCAGUUCAGCUCACAACAGACCCACCUAAAUAGAAUUCUCUCUGAAACAGUAUCACUGUUCUUCCUCUGAA
Non-coding RNA from Anas platyrhynchos (mallard), 4148 nucleotides. The record is from RefSeq and is a predicted model, not a curated record. Lineage: Eukaryota; Metazoa; Chordata; Aves; Anseriformes; Anatidae.